GAUGGAGCGGAGGAUAGGAAGAACCCGGACCCGGUUGUUUACGCGCCAAUAAUUUAUGAAGUGACCAAAAUUCCCCUCAGGUUGUUGAUAAACCUCGCUAUUGCUUUUAUUACAUUUUAGAUUCGUUGUUUCGGCGGAAGCAAAUCCCCGUUCUUCACGCUCGACCCGAACAAAUUCAGCGCUUUCAUUGCAUUGCCGCAGGUAUAUUCUUGGGUUUUGCCCCAAUCUGAUUCAACUCCCUUCAUUUAAUUGAAUCCCUUGUUUAUCUUCCUCUCCUCUUCAAUUCUGCUCCGGAAUCCCACCGGUCCGCUGCCUUCUCAGCGCGAUCACUGGGGAUUCUGGAUUUCUGGUUAUUUUCUCCCAAUUGUACACCUCUUUUUCUUCUUAGGGUUGGGUCUGUUUUUAUUCGUGUAUAUAGCAUAUGAUUUUUGGGGACUGUGAGCCGGUGAGGUUUGUUUUUCACGAGUUAGGUUUUCAAUUUCUGGUUGCGGAGCAAUGGGCGAUCAUCUCGUUUUGUAUGUGGACCGGCUGAUUCGGCCGGUACCCGUUGAUCCGGUGCCCGACCCGAAUGAAAUUGUUCCUUUCUUAACGCCCGGAGAGGAUUUGGACGGCGACUCCGUGGCCUCGUCUUGUUCGACGUCCACUUCCAAUGUUGAUGGUGUGAGGAGAGAGGAGAAUGAGGCUUUGGAUGGAGAGAAUGAUUCACUGAUUCAGGUAGCAGAAUGUCGUAUUUGCCAGGAUGAGGAUACGAUUCAGAAGCUGGAAACACCAUGUGCCUGUAGUGGCAGUCUUAAGUAUGCUCAUCGGAAGUGUAUACAGCAAUGGUGCAAUGAGAAAGGGGAUAUAACUUGCGAAAUCUGCCAUCAGCCUUACCAACCUGAUUAUACAGCUCCACCACCUCCCCCUCGCAUUGAAGAAACUUCUAUUGAUAUUGGGGGAGGAUGGACCAUCACUGGCACCCCUUUGAAUUUACAGGAUCCUCGCCUUUUGGCUAUUGCAGAGGCUGAACGUAAUUUAUUGGAAGCCGAGUAUGACGAAUAUGCAGCUUCAGAUGCUAGUGGAGCUGCAUUUUGUCGAGCAGCUGCUCUUAUUCUCAUGAUCCUACUUUUCUUACGUCAUGCACUGGAAGUCACAGAUCCUGAUGGUGAUGAUUAUGUGUCUGCUUUCUUCUCUAUUUUCUUGCUCCGAGCGGCCGGUUUUCUCUUGCCUUGCUACAUUAUGGCUUGUGCAGYCAACAUCUUGCAACGUCGACAACGAAGACAGGAGGCUGCAGCCUUAGGUGCAGCACAAGUUGCUUUUGUGCUACAAUCAGGACGACACAGAGGUCUGCAAUUUGCCAUAGCAUCAGGACCUCAAGUGGCUCCGCACCAGGACAUUGUUUAACUUACAUAGGCGCAAAUCUAACCUCUUCCUUUUCUUCUUCUUCCUUUUCUUUUUUCUUUUUUGGUUUUCCUUCAAUGGUUUUAGCACCAAAAAGUUCAAUUUAGUCUCCCUUAAAAUGAGCUUCUAUGUUUGUAAUCUGUCUUAUAUUCAUUUUGCAAAGCCGAGUGUAAUUCUACAUUGUAAUUAUUUUUCAUGACUUGCAGUCUUGCAAUUUGUUGACCCGUCACCCAUGAAUAAUAAAGCAAUGAAAGUUUAAUCAAAUUUUCUAUAGUUGGAUGGGAACACUUGAAACAAAAUUAGUAGGAAUCGUUCAAAGAUCUCGGCCUCGAAUUAUUAAAUAUAAGAAUUGCAUCGAGCUAGAAGCCUCAUCCUCCAAGAGCCCUUCGGUGAAAGAACAAAGAAAAGCUUAAAGAUAGCCAAUCCGCGCAAGAACCAAGUAGAGUAAAUUUUUGUGUCGCAUAUAGAACCAAUCAAAUAGGCCAAAGUAGCAGAUAAUUGAUAAAUAUGGAAAGGAUGAUACGAAAAAUAAACCAAAUUUCAAGGGGAUUUGUUCUUACCACCUUACUUGCUUUUUACAUAACCCUCUCCCUCUAAUAAUGGGAUAAAUUGGUAUCCUCACAUCUAAAGUGGACAUUUCUCUCAUCAGUCUGCUUGUUGUUUGUUUGAGCUUUUACAAGUUACGCGUACUUUUAAUUUUUGCUCUUUAUUUCAACUGCAUUGAAUCUGUAGCAGGUGUACCGAACAGGGGUUGGUGCUUUAAGACUUAAGGAGCCACAAACCUUUUUGUCCAGUUGUUCUCCUCAGUCCUCACCCAUCAGACAGAUCCAAAAAGCCCAAUUGAUGUUCAAGCAGCAGAUCAAAUCUAGGCAUUCUUUAUACUGUUUUCAGGGAAGAUAUGUUCAAAAAAGGGAGAUCCAUGGCUGUUUGCUACAGGUUUGAUCCAAAUCAGUCAAGCAAAAGAAGGUGGUACAAGUCAUUGGGAAUAAUAAAUUUGGCGUACCAUUAACCUUUCCAUGCAGAGAAAACUGCAAGAUGAAAGGUGGCGCUCUCAGCUCUGUUCCUGAACUCUUGAGGAAGAGGAACUUUCACGCCAAGAAUUGCUGGUAUUUCUUACUCUUUCUUAUUUUUUCUUCAGAUGGAAUUUCCUGUCUCCAUGUAUUUUGUAGCUGAGCUGGAAUUACACUACAAAAAAAUGACAUUUGAAACCAAGAGAAUAUUUGGUGAGGAGUGAGGACAAAGUUGAAGUGUCUCCCUUGA
This is a non-coding RNA of Momordica charantia (bitter melon), 2640 nucleotides long. The record is from RefSeq and is a predicted model, not a curated record. NCBI's taxonomy places the organism in Eukaryota, Viridiplantae, Streptophyta, Magnoliopsida, Cucurbitales, Cucurbitaceae.